Long non-coding RNA from Patella vulgata (common limpet), 421 nucleotides. RefSeq lists it as uncharacterized. The record is from RefSeq and is a predicted model, not a curated record. The transcript has 3 exons. Lineage: Eukaryota; Metazoa; Mollusca; Gastropoda; Patellidae.
GCCAAACAUCCUCGUGCAACCGGGAACUAAAUGGACAGAGAGAUGCCGUCGGUGUAUUUGUGUGGGUGAUACAGGAUUGUCCGAGUGUUCAGAACCACAAUGUGUCAUCCCAUAUCAACCUUAUCAAGAGGAUGUUUGUCUAAAGGUCCAAAUUGUAAAGUGCCACCUUUAAACAUAGGUGAAGAAAAUAGUAUCACAAAUACUGGUGACAUAAAGUACAUAAAAUUAGAGGAGACGAAGAUGAUAUUUAUUGGACAUCCUCGCUUUUCAUGGAGUUGCACCUGUCAGAAAGCUGGAGUGGAUGCAGAAUGUUCCAGACAAUCUAGAUUAGUUUAAUCUGUUUUAAAAUGGCUACUAAGAAACAAACCCUUCUCCAAAGUGCAGAACAUUUGUGAUUUUUGCCAUUUGUCACGAAAGAACA